GGCGAGUGAAGCGGGAAGAGCUCAAGCUUAAAAUCUCCGUGCAAGUUUUGUGCGGCGAAUUGUAGUCUAUAGAGGCGUGGUCAGCGUGGGCGCUUGGGGCAAGUUCCUUGGAAGAGGACAGCAUGGAGGGUGAUACUCCCGUUCAUCCCUGAGUGGCUCGUGCGUACGACCCGUUUUCUUUGAGUCGCGUUGUUUGGGAAUGCAGCGCAAAGUAGGUGGUAAAUUCCAUCUAAAGCUAAAUAUUGGUGCGAGACCGAUAGCGAACAAGUACCGUGAGGGAAAGAUGAAAAGAACUUUGAAAAGAGAGUUAAAGAGUACCUGAAACUGCUGAAAGGGAACCGAAUCGUUUCCAGUGUCUAUAAUCUGUGGCAUAUUUCAUUGGCGAGCGUUUGCGUGCGUGUGCUGUGGCAGUGGCUUUUUUGGCUGCGCCUGGUGUGUGUGGUGUGAGUGUUUGCUGGUGCCCUGUGCUGCGGUGGGACGUCAAGGUCAGUUCGUAUGCUGCGGGAAAUGGCUGCCGAGGAGGUAGGGCUUACGCUCCGCGUUUGUCUGUUAUAUCUUGGUGGACGAGUCGUCGCGGUUGGGACUGAGGUGCCUACAACGUGCUUUUGAGUGGGUUUGUGUCUCCGUGUGCGCCGUGUGCGGAUAGCUUGCUAUGCGUGUGUGGUUGUGUGUGGAUUGAUGCGGGCCUUAACUUGUCGCCGUUCGGGACGUUGACGAAAUGGAGCGAUCCGACCCGUCUUGAAACACGGAC
Molecule: ribosomal RNA, 751 nt
Filed under: Phytophthora colocasiae
Lineage: Eukaryota; Oomycota; Peronosporomycetes; Peronosporales; Peronosporaceae
Description: eukaryotic LSU rRNA
Rfam family: Eukaryotic large subunit ribosomal RNA
Source: RNAcentral